CCCUUAGAUGUCCUGGGCUGCACGCGCGCUACACUGGAAGUUACGGAUUGAGAUACUACCUUGUCCGAAAUGGUCCGGGUAAUCACCUAAAAGCUUGUCAUAAUUGGAAUGGAUUAUUGUAACUAGUAAUCCUGAACGAGGAAUUCCUAGUAAGUCCCAGUCAACAGCUGGUACUGAUUACGUCCCUGCCCUUUGUACACACCGCCCGUCGCUACUGCUGAUUGGACGUUUAAGCAAGAUUUUUAAACACUGACAGUGUGUAGUUCACGCUAUACUACAGUGAGAAGAAGAAGAUCGAGCUUACUUGUCUAGAGGAAGUAAAAGUCGUAACA
RNAcentral lists this ribosomal RNA (332 nucleotides) under uncultured eukaryote. RNAcentral describes it as "partial 18S ribosomal RNA". It matches the Rfam family "Eukaryotic small subunit ribosomal RNA", at positions 1470 to 1796 of the family's 1831-position model. The record is from RNAcentral.